CGGGCUGUGGCGCAGUUUGGCUAGCGCGCAUGACUGGGGGUCAUGAGGUCGCAGGUUCAAGUCCUGUCAGCCCGACCA
This 78-nucleotide transfer RNA is filed under the name Bacillota bacterium. RNAcentral describes it as "Firmicutes bacterium (anaerobic digester metagenome) tRNA-Pro". It matches the Rfam family "tRNA". Rfam says of the family: Transfer RNA (tRNA) molecules are approximately 80 nucleotides in length. Their secondary structure includes four short double-helical elements and three loops (D, anti-codon, and T loops). Further hydrogen bonds mediate the characteristic L-shaped molecular structure. tRNAs have two regions of fundamental functional importance: the anti-codon, which is responsible for specific mRNA codon recognition, and the 3' end, to which the tRNAs corresponding amino acid is attached (by aminoacyl-tRNA synthetases). tRNAs cope with the degeneracy of the genetic code in two manners: having more than one tRNA (with a specific anti-codon) for a particular amino acid; and 'wobble' base-pairing, i.e. permitting non-standard base-pairing at the 3rd anti-codon position. The record is from RNAcentral. Lineage: Bacteria; Bacillati; Bacillota.